UUGGAGGGCAAGUCUGGUGCCAGCAGCCGCGGUAAUUCCAGCUCCAAUAGCGUAUAUUAAAGUUGUUGCAGUUAAAAAGCUCGUAGUUGAAUUUCGGGACCAAUUUGUUGGUCGUGCCUCGGUACGUACUGGUAUUAUUGGUUUCUCCCUUCUGAAGAACCUCGAUGCCAUUAACUUGGUGUCGUGGGGAAUCAGGACUGUUACUUUGAAAAAAUUAGAGUGUUUAAAGCAAGCAUACGCUUGAAUACAUUAGCACGGAAUAAUGAAAUAGGACGUUUGAUUCUAUUUUGUUGGUUUCUAGGAUCGACGUAAUGAUUAAUAGGGAUAGUUGGGGGCAUUAGUAUUCAAUUGUCAGAGGUGAAAUUCUUGGAUUUAUUGAAGACUAACUACUGCGAAAGCAUUUGCCAAGGAUGUUUUCAUUAAUCAAGAACGAAAGUUAGGGGAUCGAAGACGAUCAGAUACCGUCGUAGUCUUAACCACAAACUAUGCCGACUAGGGAUCGGAUGAUGUUAAUUUUUUAAUGACUCAUUCGGCGCCUUACGGGAAACCAAAGUGUUUGGGUUC
RNAcentral lists this ribosomal RNA (564 nucleotides) under uncultured Glomeromycotina. RNAcentral describes it as "SSU rRNA". It matches the Rfam family "Eukaryotic small subunit ribosomal RNA", at positions 548 to 1114 of the family's 1831-position model. The record is from RNAcentral. Lineage: Eukaryota; Fungi; Glomeromycota.